Small nuclear RNA from Marmota marmota marmota (Alpine marmot), 103 nucleotides. NCBI's taxonomy places the organism in Eukaryota, Metazoa, Chordata, Mammalia, Rodentia, Sciuridae. The record is from Ensembl.
AAGAUGUAGUGAUAGCUUUGGCAGCAAAAUUGGAACAAUACAGAAAUUAGCAUGGCCCCUGUGCAAAAAUGACACACAAAUGCAUAAAGUGCUCUGUAUUUUA